RNAcentral lists this ribosomal RNA (423 nucleotides) under Japananus hyalinus. RNAcentral's name for it is "partial large subunit ribosomal RNA". The record is from RNAcentral. Lineage: Eukaryota; Metazoa; Arthropoda; Insecta; Hemiptera; Cicadellidae.
UUCUUCUAAAUGGCUGCAGUAUUUUGACUGUGCAAAGGUAGCAUAGUAAUUAGUUUCUUAAUUAGGAUCUAGAAUGAAUGGAAUUAUGAGAUAUUAUUUAUAUUAAUUUUAUAAUUAAAAUUUAAAUUUUGAGUAAAAAUGCUCAGUUUUUUUCUUGGGACGAUAAGACCCUAUAGAGCUUUAUUCAUUAUAUUAAAUAAAUUUUUAAUUAAUUUUUUCAUUUAAUUAUUAUGUUUUUUGCUGGGGUGGUAAUUAAAUUUUAUCUUUAAUUUUUUUUUUCAUUAAUUUAUGUAAAUUAAGAUCUUUAAAUUGGAUUAUAAGAUAUAGUUACCUUAGGGAUAACAGCGUAAUUUUAAUGGGGAGUUCACAUUUAUAUUAAAUUUUGCGACCUCGAUGUUGAAUUAAGGAUCUAUUAAGAAGCAG